Molecule: ribosomal RNA, 253 nt
Filed under: uncultured bacterium
Lineage: Bacteria
Description: partial 16S ribosomal RNA
Rfam family: Bacterial small subunit ribosomal RNA
Source: RNAcentral
UACGUAGGGGGCAAGCGUUGUUCGGAAUUACUGGGCGUAAAGGGCGCGUAGGCGGCACAGCAAGUCGGGAGUGAAAGCCCGGGGCUCAACCCCGGAACGGCUUUCGAAACUGCUGAGCUAGAGUACAGAAGGGGCAACCGGAAUUCCCAGUGUAGCGGUGAAAUGCGUAGAUAUUGGGAAGAACACCUGAGGCGAAGGCGGCUCACUGGUCCGGUACUGACGCUGAGGUGCGAAAGCGUGGGGAGCAAACAGG